This 205-nucleotide ribosomal RNA is filed under the name uncultured bacterium. RNAcentral's name for it is "partial 16S ribosomal RNA". It matches the Rfam family "Bacterial small subunit ribosomal RNA", at positions 1296 to 1500 of the family's 1533-position model. The record is from RNAcentral.
GACUGCAGUCUGCAACUCGACUGCACGAAGCUGGAAUCGCUAGUAAUCGCGGAUCAGCACGCCGCGGUGAAUACGUUCCCGGGCCUUGUACACACCGCCCGUCACACCAUGGGAGUCGGUAACACCCAAAGUUGGUAGUCUAACCGCAAGGAGGACGCCGCCUAAGGUGGGAUUGAUGACUGGGGUGAAGUCGUAACAAGGUAGC